Molecule: ribosomal RNA, 480 nt
Filed under: Blastocystis sp.
Lineage: Eukaryota; Bigyra; Opalinata; Blastocystidae
Description: SSU rRNA
Rfam family: Eukaryotic small subunit ribosomal RNA
Source: RNAcentral
GGAGGUAGUGACAAUAAAUCACAAUGCGGGACUAUACGUCUUGCAAUUGGAUUGAGAACAAUGUACAACUCUUAUCGAUAAGCCAUUGGAGGGCAAGUCUGGUGCCAGCAGCCGCGGUAAUUCCAGCUCCAAUAGCGUAUAUUAACGUUGUUGCAGUUAAAAAGCUCGUAGUUGAAGUGUGGGUGAUCGCUGUUGUGAGACUUCGGUCUCUCGAUAGUAAGUCACCCCCUUCCAGUAUCCAGUAGUGGGUAUUCAGUUACUUACUAUUGUGUGUUGGUCCUUUACUGUGAGAAAAUUAGAGUGUUCAAAGCAGGCGUUUGCUUGAAUAGAUUAGCAUGGAAUAAUAAUUGAAGGCUUUCGUGUUCGAUUUGAUUGGUUUGUUCAUGGAAGCAAGGUUAAAAGGAACAGUUGGGGGUAUUCAUAUUCACUAGUUAGAGGUGAAAUUCUCGGAUUUAUGGAAGAUGAACAAGUGCGAAAGCA